GUCCAGGGUAGCCUAGUGGUCAUGGCUUCUGCCUGUAAGCGGAAGGUCGUGGGUUCGAUUCCCUUCCCUUGACA
RNAcentral lists this transfer RNA (74 nucleotides) under Cordylochernes scorpioides. Its description in RNAcentral is "tRNA-OTHER". It matches the Rfam family "tRNA". Rfam says of the family: Transfer RNA (tRNA) molecules are approximately 80 nucleotides in length. The record is from RNAcentral. Lineage: Eukaryota; Metazoa; Arthropoda; Arachnida; Pseudoscorpiones; Chernetidae.